RNAcentral lists this ribosomal RNA (468 nucleotides) under uncultured bacterium. RNAcentral describes it as "partial 16S ribosomal RNA". It matches the Rfam family "Bacterial small subunit ribosomal RNA", at positions 28 to 507 of the family's 1533-position model. The record is from RNAcentral.
GACGAACGCUGGCGGCGUGCUUAACACAUGCCAGUCGAACGGAAAGGCCCUGCUUUUGUGGGGUGCUCGAGUGGCGAACGGGUGAGUAACACGUGAGUAACCUGCCCUUGACUUUGGGAUAACUUCAGGAAACUGGGGCUAAUACCGGAUAGGAGCUCCUGCUGCAUGGUGGGGGUUGGAAAGUGUCGGCGGUUGGGGAUGGACUCGCGGCUUAUCAGCUUGUUGGUGGGGUAGUGGCUUACCAAGGCUUUGACGGGUAGCCGGCCUGGGAGGGUGACCGGCCACAUUGGGACUAAGAUACGGCGCAGACGCCUACGGGAGGCAGCAGUGGGGAAUAUUGCACAAUGGGCGGAAGCCUGAUGCAGCAACGCCGCGUGCGGGAUGACGGCCUUCGGGUUGUAAACCGCUUUCGCCUGUGACGAAGCGUGAGUGACGGUAAUGGGUAAAGAAGCACCGGCUAACUACGUG